UACACAUGCAAGUCGAACGAGAAUCUGUGGAAAGAGGAUUCGUCCAAUUGAAGCAGAGGACAGUGGCGGACGGGUGAGUAACGCGUGAGGAACCUGCCUUUCAGAGGGGGACAACAGUUGGAAACGGCUGCUAAUACCGCAUGACACAUCGGAGUCGCAUGGCUCUGAUGUCAAAGAUUUAUCGCUGAAAGAUGGCCUCGCGUCUGAUUAGCUAGUUGGUGAGGUAACGGCCCACCAAGGCGACGAUCAGUAGCCGGACUGAGAGGUUGAACGGCCACAUUGGGACUGAGAUACGGCCCAGACUCCUACGGGAGGCAGCAGUGGGGAAUAUUGGGCAAUGGGCGCAAGCCUGACCCAGCAACGCCGCGUGAAGGAAGAAGGCUUUCGGGUUGUAAACUUCUUUUGUCAGGGACGAGUAGAAGACGGUACCUGACGAAUAAGCCACGGCUAACUACGUGCCAGCAGCCGCGGUAAUACGUAGGUGGCAAGCGUUGUCCGGAUUUACUGGGUGUAAAGGGCGUGUAGCCGGGAGGGCAAGUCAGAUGUGAAAUCCACGGGCUCAACUCGUGAACUGCAUUUGAAACUACUCUUCUUGAGUAUCGGAGAGGCAAUCGGAAUUCCUAGUGUAGCGGUGAAAUGCGUAGAUAUUAGGAGGAACACCAGUGGCGAAGGCGGAUUGCUGGACGACAACUGACGGUGAGGCGCGAAAGCGUGGG
RNAcentral lists this ribosomal RNA (716 nucleotides) under uncultured bacterium. RNAcentral describes it as "bacterial SSU rRNA". It matches the Rfam family "Bacterial small subunit ribosomal RNA", at positions 50 to 765 of the family's 1533-position model. The record is from RNAcentral.